AUACUACUCCUUCCGUCUGAAAAUACUUGUCGAAAAAAUGCAUAAAAAUGAAUGUAUCUAGAACUAAAAUACAUCUAGAUACAUCCAUUCUUCCAACAAGUAUUUCUGAACGGAGGGAGUACGUA
Molecule: non-coding RNA, 125 nt
Organism: Triticum aestivum (bread wheat)
Lineage: Eukaryota; Viridiplantae; Streptophyta; Magnoliopsida; Poales; Poaceae
Source: Rfam